RNAcentral lists this ribosomal RNA (497 nucleotides) under uncultured bacterium. RNAcentral's name for it is "partial 16S ribosomal RNA". It matches the Rfam family "Bacterial small subunit ribosomal RNA", at positions 28 to 507 of the family's 1533-position model. The record is from RNAcentral.
GACGAACGCUGGCGGCGUGCCUAAUACAUGCAAGUAGAACGCUGAAGAGAGGAGCUUACUCUUCUUGGAUGAGUUGCGAACGGGUGAGUAACGCGUAGGUAACCUGCCUUGUAGCGGGGGAUAACUAUUGGAAACGAUAGCUAAUACCGCAUAACAAUGGAUGACACAUGUCAUUUAUUUGAAAGGGGCAAUUGCUCCACUACAAGAUGGACCUGCGUCGUAUUAGCUAGUAGGUGAGGUAAUGGCUCACCUAGGCGACGAUACAUAGCCGACCUGAGAGGGUGAUCGGCCAGACUGGGACUGAGACACGGCCCAGACUCCUACGGGAGGCAGCCGUAGGGAAUCUUCGGCAAUGGGGGCAACCCUGACCGAGCAACGCCGCGUGAGUGAAGAAGGUUUUCGGAUCGUAAAGCUCUGUUGUAAGUCAAGAACGGGUGUGAGAGUGGAAAGUUCACACUGUGACGGUAGCUUACCAGAAAGGGACGGCUAACUGCGUG